Molecule: ribosomal RNA, 460 nt
Filed under: uncultured bacterium
Lineage: Bacteria
Description: partial 16S ribosomal RNA
Rfam family: Bacterial small subunit ribosomal RNA
Source: RNAcentral
CCUACGGGAGGCAGCAGUGAGGAAUAUUGGUCAAUGGACGAGAGUCUGAACCAGCCAAGUAGCGUGAAGGAUGACUGCCCUAUGGGUUGUAAACUUCUUUUAUAUGGGAGUAAAAUGUUCCAAGUGUGGGAUUAUGUAUGUACCAUAUGAAUAAGGAUCGGCUAACUACGGGCCAGCAGCCGCGGUAAUACGGAGGAUCCGAGCGUUAUCCGGAUUUGUUGGGGUUAAAGUGAGCGUAGGUGGAUUGUUAAGUCAGUUGUGAAAGUUUGCGGCUCAACCGUAAAAUUGCAGUUGAAACUGGCAGUCUUGAGUACAGUAGAGGUGAGCGGAAUUCGUGGUGUAGCGGUGAAAUGCUUAGAUAUCACGAAGAACUCCGCUUGCGAAGGCAGCUCACUGGACUGCAACUGACACUGAGGCUCGAAAGUGUGGGUAUCAAACAGGAUUAGAUACCCCGGUAGUC